Molecule: long non-coding RNA, 279 nt
Filed under: Capsicum annuum
Lineage: Eukaryota; Viridiplantae; Streptophyta; Magnoliopsida; Solanales; Solanaceae
Description: long non-coding RNA (CANN_LNC021548)
Source: RNAcentral
UUUGAUGAUGUUGGAUUGAGGUUGAUUCUAGAUUAAGUGUGAGUGGGGAGGACAAGGAAGCCUUACUUGAUUCAGAUGGAGUUUGGAGGAUUGGGGGCUGAGUUUGUGUGUCGAGAGUGGUGAUUAGAUUAGGUUGAUCUUGGAAGAGGCCCAUUGUUCCAGAUAUUCUAUCCAUCUAGGUGUGACUAAGAUAUAUCAUGAUUUGAGACAACACUACUGUGGGGUGGUAUGAGACGAUAUAUAGUGGAUUUUAUAGCUCGGUAGCUUUAUUUCCAAUCG